This 433-nucleotide ribosomal RNA is filed under the name uncultured bacterium. RNAcentral's name for it is "partial 16S ribosomal RNA". It matches the Rfam family "Bacterial small subunit ribosomal RNA", at positions 29 to 507 of the family's 1533-position model. The record is from RNAcentral.
AACGAACGCUGGCGGCAUGCCUAACACAUGCAAGUCGAACGAAGGCUUCGGCCUUAGUGGCGCACGGGUGCGUAACGCGUGGGAAUCUGCCCUUUGCUUCGGAAUAACAGUUAGAAAUGACUGCUAAUACCGGAUGAUGUCGCAAGACCAAAGAUUUAUCGGCAAAGGAUGAGCCCGCGUAGGAUUAGCUAGUUGGUGGGGUAAAGGCCUACCAAGGCGACGAUCCUUAGCUGGUCUGAGAGGAUGAUCAGCCACACUGGGACUGGGACACGGCCCGGACUCUUACGGGAGGGAGCAGAGGGGAAUAUUGGAAAAUGGGGGGGGGCAUGAUCCAGCAAUGCCGGGUGAGUGAUGAUGUCCGGAAGGAUGUAAAGCUCUUUUACCCGGGAUUAUAAUGACGGUACCGAGAGAAUAAGCACCGGCUAACUCCGUG